CCUACGGGUGGCUGCAGUGAGGAAUAUUGGUCAAUGGGCGCGAGCCUGAACCAGCCAAGUCGCGUGAAGGAUGAAUGAUCUAUGGGUUGUAAACUUCUUUUAUAUGGGAAUAAAGUGAGGAACGUGUUCCUUUUUGUAUGUACCUUAUGAAUAAGCAUCGGCUAACUCCGUGCCAGCAGCCGCGGUAAUACGGAGGAUCCGAGCGUUAUCCGGAUUUAUUGGGUUUAAAGGGUGCGUAGGUGGUUAAUUAAGUCAGCGGUGAAAGUUUGUGGCUCAACCAUAAAAUUGCCGUUGAAACUGGCUGUCUUGAGUAUAGUUGAGGUAGGCGGAAUGCGUGGUGUAGCGGUGAAAUGCAUAGAUAUCACGAAGAACUCCGAUUGCGAAGGCAGCUUACUAAACUAUCACUGACACUGAAGCACGAAAGUGUGGGGAUCAAACAGGAUUAGAUACCCCUGUAGUC
RNAcentral lists this ribosomal RNA (460 nucleotides) under uncultured bacterium. Its description in RNAcentral is "partial 16S ribosomal RNA". It matches the Rfam family "Bacterial small subunit ribosomal RNA", at positions 338 to 795 of the family's 1533-position model. The record is from RNAcentral.